This is a long non-coding RNA of Globicephala melas (long-finned pilot whale), 3516 nucleotides long. RefSeq lists it as uncharacterized. The record is from RefSeq and is a predicted model, not a curated record. NCBI's taxonomy places the organism in Eukaryota, Metazoa, Chordata, Mammalia, Artiodactyla, Delphinidae.
UUCGUUUCCGCACCAGCCCCGCGGCUCAGAGUUUCCGGCUGCGGGUAGCGUAGGGGACUAGAGAUGCGUAGUUACUACCCCCUGCAGGAUGUGGGGAGAUGCCCACUCCCACGUUUCCCUCACUCACUCCCAGCCUAGCUUUGUGCUUUGACUUAACCUAAGUGAUGAGAUCGAUUAGGAAAGGAAUUGGAGACAAAACCAAGACACUAGCGUUUUCUGAGGUGUCCACAGGGUCGGUUUCUCUGAGCCCUCUCCUGGGCUUGCCUACGGCUGACUUCUCACUGUGGACUUUCCUCUGUGCCUGUGCACUCCUGGUGUCUCUUUCCUCUUCUUAUAAGGACACCAUUCCUAUCCUUGAGGAUAACACCCUUAUGACCUUAUUUAACCUUAAUCACCUCCUUAAGUGCUCUGUCUCCAAAUACAGCCACACUGGGGGUUAGGGCUUCCAGUGCAUGGGUUUUGCGAGGGGCACACAAUUCAGCCCAGAACAGUUGGGAACUAUCUUGUCACUAUCUGUGUUUUCCCAUAGCACCUAGCACAGCGCCUUGCAAAAUGGUAAAUCUAGGUUUUUGUUAACAAAGUGAUAGAACACCUGAUGGGAACUGGGAGAGGAGUUAUAAAGUCAUUUAAAUCUAUUGUCUUAGCUCAUCUUUGUUUAUAAAAUUUCUGAGCUCUAUUCUGGAAGGUCCUAGUUCCUGCUUGGAACUUCAGUCUCCAGGACAAUGGCACAGAGGUGUCACAGUGGAUGUAGGAUCAUUGGAUGAUCACAGCAUGGCUUGGGGGCCUCCGUGGCUAUUCAUCUUGGUGAGCAGAGAUUGCAUUGCCACUUUGAAUGAUUGGACUAGAACAUCUGUCUUGGCAUCCUGUUCCCUUCAGAACCCACGCUGGAUUCUUUUUGGCUCAUAUGGCCAGUGGCUGCCAUAUUGAAGAGUGCAGCUCUUUUCUCCUCCUUGGGACAGAUGUGGCUGAAGGUAGGCAUUUCCAUGAUACCUCUGGAUCCUUAGCUGUACCCUCUCUUCCUGGGAAGCUGGAAGCAUGUACAUCAUCUACACAAAGUAGAUUCAGUAGUCUGAGCCAGACUGUGUACUCAAGCCUGGGUCUGCUUUCACAGGUCCCCAACUCCAGAGGUGGUUGUGAGCAAGAAUUCUCUCUCAUUGGCUUAUUUCCUCUUGUCAGAGGCCUCGACUUCUUAAUUUUGUUCGGGGAAAUAGAGUUUGGCAGCCUUUCCUUCCAGCCAGUUCCUGCCGCUUGGUACACAAGUACCGAUACCGAAGCCAGUAUAUAAUCUAACACUCAUUAUUUUCCUGCUGCAAAGCUGAAGUUUCCUUUAUUUUAUGGGGUGCCACUCGCUUUCUUAUCAUUCCCAAUAGAACUUUGUUUUUAUGUGCUGGGUAAGAAAUCAUGGAACUGGUAAGGGCAAGAAAAUAAUCAAAUCAAGAGCUUUGAUUAACAUGAGAGGGUCUAACAGCAGCAGUUUACUCGUGAGAAGAGGUGUUGAAAUACUGGUAGGGGAGUUAGAAGGGACACAGAGAAGGGCAGACAGCUAAUAAAGCAGCUACCACGGAGAGUGAAUGUGUGUCAUCGCAUGGAAAGACUUUGAAAACAGUGUGAAACACAUGCUUCACAGAUGUUCCACCCUAGGGGAGAGGGAGACCUGGUAUUUGUCAAAAUCCCAUCAAGCGUGGUUGAGGGCUGCCCCCAGAGCAGUGGUCUUUCGUGGUUUUCAAAAAAGCCCGCAGCCCAAGAGACACAGAUGGUGCAAGUCGGAUGAAGUACACGGCAGGGGAAAGGCCGGGGGCAGGGGGCCAGGGCAGUAACAGCAUCUGCUCUGAACAUUGACUUUGAACUCUCAGUAGAACCUAGUAGCACACUAAUUUUAGUUUCUGGGUAAAUUUCGGUAAUUCUUAAUAUCUCAGUAGUACUAGUGGGUAGCCCUUACUUUAUUUUUAAAACGUCUAUAUAAUCUCAGGUGAUUUUUCAUUAUGAAACCAAGAAAGGCAUUCUUAAAUCGUUCACGAUCCAGAAGAUGGUCUCCAGCCUGGGGGACCACAGAGUAAAACUUCUAUGCCUUCCAUCUGCCUUGACUUAACUCGGGGAAAUGAAGGUAAAGGGGACCCAGGGAGACUGGACACAACAACCUAUGACAUUUCUAUUAAGUAACUUUUUUUUUAAAAUUUAAAUCCAGUUUUAUUGUUUUGUUUUUUGGCUGUGCUGCAGAGCAUGUGGGAUCUUACUUCCCUGACCAGGGACCGAGCCCAUGCCCCCUGUGUUGGAAGUGCAGAGUCCUAAUCACUGGACCGCCAGGGAAGUCCUCUAUUAAGUAAUUCUUGACUGUAGCAAGAAGGUUAGCUACGAAGAGAGGGUCCCCACAGAAAAACCAUUUCAGUUCCUGUUUAUUAAUUUUCAUAAAACAAUUGAGUUACACAUAUUUGCAAGAGUGGUUAAGUUCUGGUCUUUAAAUGGUAGCUUUUCUGGUUACUAUCACAUAGGUAUCUGCUCUCUGUGAGUACCCUGAUGCUUAAUAAAGCUUGUGCGCCAACUGAAAGAUUUUCCACAUUUGUCACAUCUGUAGGGUCUCUCUCCAGUAUGAAUGACCUCAUGUCGAUGAAGAUUUGCCUUAAAACUAAAAGUUUUCCCACAUUCGCUACAUUCAAAGAAUUCCUCCUUGGUAUGGAUUCUUUGAUGCUGAAUGAGAUCUACAUUCCGACCAAAGGAUUCACCACAUUCACUGCAUUUAUGAGUGUUCUGUUUAUUGUGAAUUUGUCGAUGGCUCAUAAGGGUUGAAUGCCGGCCAAAGGCUUUUCCACAUUCAAUGCAUUUAUGGGGUUUCUCUCCACUGUGGAUUAACUGAUGUCGAAUAAGGGUUGAAUUCUGACUAAAUGUUCUUUCACAUUCGCUACAUUUAUAGGGUUUUUCUUUGGUAUGGAUCCUCCUAUGUUCAACAAGAUACGCCAUCUGACGGAAACACUUUCCACAGUCAUGACAUUCAUAUGGCUUUUUUUGUGAGUGACACUGUUUGUGGACAAUCAGAGCAGACUUCUGUUUGAAGGCCUGCCCACAUAUGUCGCACUCAAAGGGAUCCUCUGAACUGUGAAUUCUUUGAUGUCGAACAAAAUUUGCUUGACGCUGGAAGGCUCUUCCACAUUCGCUGCAUUCAUAAGAUUUCGCAUUUGUAAGAAUUCGCUUAUGCCUCAAAAGCAGUGAUCUCUGAUGGAAGGGUUUUCCAUACUCAUCAUAUUUGCCCUGCUUUGUCCUUGCCUGAGCUUUCCGAUCUUGAAUAAGGUUAAGGUUUUGAAGGAAGUCCUUACAGCAUUCAUCACCAAUAGUAGGGAGUGAAAGUCGGUAAAUGUCCACAAAUUCGUUACAUUCAAGUAACUUUUCUAAGGGUUUCCUGGCCAUUUUCUGCUUUACCAGUGACAUCUUACAUGACUCUAAAUCUUCAGAAAUGUUCUGCUUUGGAGUUAGCUCUUUCAUCUUGAAUCUGGCUUCAGGACCUAGCCAAAAAAAAAAAAGAAA